RNAcentral lists this ribosomal RNA (301 nucleotides) under uncultured bacterium. Its description in RNAcentral is "partial 16S ribosomal RNA". It matches the Rfam family "Bacterial small subunit ribosomal RNA", at positions 509 to 807 of the family's 1533-position model. The record is from RNAcentral.
CAGUAGCCGCGGGAACACGGAGGGGGCUAGCGUUGUUCAGAAUUACUGGGCGUAAAGCGCACGUAGGCGGCUUGGUAAGUUAGAGGUGAAAGCCCGGAGCUCAACUCCGGAAUUGCCUUUAAGACUGCCGAGCUAGUAGGUGAGAGAGGUAAGUGGAAUUCCGAGUGUAGAGGUGAAAUUCGUAGAUAUUCGGAAGAACACCAGUGGCGAAGGCGGCUUACUGGCUCAUUCUAGACGCUGAGGUGCGAAAGCGUGGGGAGCAAACAGGAUUAGAUACCACAGUAGUCCCUGUCUCUUAUAC